Molecule: long non-coding RNA, 668 nt
Filed under: Prunus persica (peach)
Lineage: Eukaryota; Viridiplantae; Streptophyta; Magnoliopsida; Rosales; Rosaceae
Description: long non-coding RNA (PPER_LNC001797)
Source: RNAcentral
AGAAGAAGAAGAAUAUGGGAUCGAAGAAGAUGAUCCGAACAAUAGGGAGAAGCAGAUGGAUUUUGGGAAUCGAAGAUGGAACUUGAAGAAUUGAAGAAAUGUUAAAUGGAGAAGAGUGAACAGAGAAGGCAGAAGGCAGAAGGCAGAAGGCAGGAGGUGAGAGGGACCAGAGGGUUACGUCAUGGAACUUGGAUUGGUGGUGGGGCCUACGGGUUUGGGCUGAAUGCUGGCUUACAAACAUAACUAUUCAUGAUGGGCUAUACUAUCAGUUCAGAGGUUAUUGGGCUACAUUUUUUCAUAGAGCCAACAUAUUUUGAGUGCUAUGCAGGUAUGUCGCUAUUUUGGUGAAGGUGAUGCAGACAAAAGAGUGUGUAGCUGCAGAUAUAGGACUAGCUAAGUUGGUUAGAUUGGAUAUACUCAAGGGCGGAUUUAUUGCUGAAUUUUUUAUUUAUUUACUUUUUUAUAUUUAAUUUUGUGUGUGUGUGUGUGUAGUUUUAGUGGUUUAAACCAAAUAUAGCUAAAGUAAAUAAUAGUCUAGCCCUCUAUUCAAAAUAAGCCCAACUCUCUAUGUAGAAAUAAGCCCACUCUUGAAACAUAUAAGAAAUAGUAAACAUGCAAUCCAUAACCUAUAUAAAUUUGAUUAAAAGCAAAUAUCAGAAAUUUUCUUC